This is a long non-coding RNA of Octopus bimaculoides (California two-spot octopus), 2262 nucleotides long. NCBI's taxonomy places the organism in Eukaryota, Metazoa, Mollusca, Cephalopoda, Octopoda, Octopodidae. The record is from RefSeq and is a predicted model, not a curated record.
CCGCCUUUUUUUUUUCAACCUCCAGAAUUACUUGAGACUUAUGGAAAGAAUAUUUUAUAUUACUCAGAAUGUAUGAAAUGAGGGCUAAUUCAAAUGUCUGAAAACUAGUGCGGACGUUUUGGACAAACUUAGCAAAAUGCUUUGGACAUUUUUUGGUUAAGAAUGGAUAUUCCUCAGUCUUGGUUUAAUCCUUUGCCUGCCCUGCGAGUCAUAUGUGACACGCAGAACAUAUUUCUUUGGCAUCCAUGACAAACUUAUGAAAACGCUAUAAAAAUAUAUAUCUUAUGUAAAACAUGAACACAUUGGAUAAAGUAAUUCUUGAAAGACAAAAAGAAUAUCAAAAGGGAUACGACACUCGGUUCAGAGGUCAGUUUGACCAGAGCAAACCUGUGACUGAUCAACAACUAUCUUUAGAUAGAAUUGCAUCAGACCAAAUUUAUUUACGUUAUUCAACGAGACUCGUCUCUCAACCUUUACUAUCAAUAUCACCGCCGCCGCCGCUGCUAAACCAAAUCAAACGUCUUGUAUACGAUUUCAUUUGAAAAAACAAAUGUUCCUAAAUAUAACCGGUUCAUCUUACACACACACGCAUUACUAAUGUAUGGUAAUUUAGUUGAGCAAAGUUGACAGACAAGAAAUAACACUCACGCGCAGCAGCCACGGGAAUAAUGGAAGACAACACAGGGCAAACACCGACCAAUCACCUUCACACGUCAUCACUAUUUCCACUGUCACCACCUCCUCCCCAAUCAUUACUGCCACUUCCGCUAUCACCGCCACUACAAUCAUCCUCACUGCUACUAGUAAUCUCCAGUCACCACUAACUCAUCACUACCGCUACAUCCAUACCACCACAUCUUCCUCCAUUGACAUCACCGCCAUUAUUAUCCAUCGCUAAUUUUUUACACCUCCCACGUACAACUACCAACACCACUAUAACCAUCAUCACUACGACUAUUUCUGUCACAAUCUCUUCUACACGUCAAUUCAGAGUUCGACCAUAUUGCUGUCUACAAUUACGUUCUUAAUACAUAUAAAUCACGUCGGUCGUUUUCCUUUUAAUCUCGUAUUAACGAGAAUUCAUUAAAUAUAUGCUCAAGCCUUAUAACUUCUAGAUGACAACCAGACUUCAUUUAAAAUCGCACCCCAAAUAAUAAUGAUAAAGACAUUGGUUAACGUAAUCUGAGAUAUAUUUGUGUCAAACGGAUAAUCGUGUUGGGAAUCGUCUUCACUUAUAAGUCAGCUCAAAACAAAAUUGCAUUGAUCUGCUUCAAUGAUGGCGACUAGAUUUAAUCAUCGAAAUGUCCAGGUUUAAGUUCCUAAUAAUCUUCUCACAUACGUAUGUUCAAAAUACUUUGCAGCAGUUCUUCCAGCUCUUUACGUUCCGAGUUCAAGUGCAGCUUCAGGGCCAAGAGAAUUUCAAGAUAUCGACGCCCAAAUCACCACUGACCCAUCUCCACACUUCUUCGGGUUGUCUUCAGAUGUCAGCUCGUUUUGAACUUGGAAAAAGCGUGAAAGACGAUUAAUCCGAGAAGUUACUUUGCUGCAACCGUGUUGGGGGUCUCACCUUGAAGAGUGAGGGAACAAUCCACCACAGACCCAUCUCAGUACAAUUGGAGUAUAAAGGAAUACAACAAUAGUGUGACAAGAUGUGAGCGUAGAAGUGUUUUUGGACUGAUCUGAAACAUUACUCUUCCGUUAUUGGAUUUAUCUGAAGGGGGUGAGCUGGCAGAAUCGUUAGUAUGCCGGACGAAAUGCUUAGCAGUAUUUCGCCCGCCGCUACGUUCUUAGUUCAAAUUCCGCCGAGGUCGACUUUACCUUUCAUCCUUUCGGGAUCGAUAAAUUAAGUACCAUUUGAGUAACGUGUGGGGGGGGGGUCGAUGUAAUCGACUAUUCCUCUCCUUUAAAUUUCAGGCCUGGUGCCCAUAAUAGAAAGGAUUAUUAGAUUUAUCUGGUUUGAUUGAUGUACAGAUAUAAUAUAAUAUAAUGGUGUUUAUUUUAUCGAACCCGAAAAAGAUGAAAGGCAAAUUUGACUUCGGCGGAAUUUGAACUCAGAACGUAAAGACGAACGCAACGUCGUUAAGCAUUUAACUCGGCGCGGCAAUGAUCUUGUCAACUCGCUACCGUUUUAUUUAUUACCAAAUAUUAACAGAAAAAAGAAAAUUAUCAAUAAACAAAGAAAUAAUACAGAUUUGUAUCUUGUUGAGAAAGUAAAAGACUAUGUAAUUAUCGUAAUAAUGAUAAUCAUAGUUUAUUACAUCA